CCCCGGCGAGGGGAGUGAAAAAGAACCUGAAACCGUGUACGUACAAGCAGUGGGAGCACGCUUAGGCGUGUGACUGCGUACCUUUUGUAUAAUGGGUCAGCGACUUAUAUUCUGUAGCAAGGUUAACCGAAUAGGGGAGCCGAAGGGAAACCGAGUCUUAACUGGGCGUUAAGUUGCAGGGUAUAGACCCGAAACCCGGUGAUCUAGCCAUGGGCAGGUUGAAGGUUGGGUAACACUAACUGGAGGACCGAACCGACUAAUGUUGAAAAAUUAGCGGAUGACUUGUGGCUGGGGGUGAAAGGCCAAUCAAACCGGGAGAUAGCUGGUUCUCCCCGAAAGCUAUUUAGGUAGCGCCUCGUGAAUUCAUCUCCGGGGGUAGAGCACUGUUUCGGCAAGGGGGUCAUCCCGACUUACCAACCCGAUGCAAACUGCGAAUACCGGAGAAUGUUAUCACGGGAGACACACGGCGGGUGCUAACGUCCGUCGUGAAGAGGGAAACAACCCAGACCGCCAGCUAAGGUCCCAAAGUCAUGGUUAAGUGGGAAACGAUGUGGGAAGGCCCAGACAGCCAGGAUGUUGGCUUAGAAGCAGCCAUCAUUUAAAGAAAGCGUAAUAGCUCACUGGUCGAGUCGGCCUGCGCGGAAGAUGUAACGGGGCUAAACCAUGCACCGAAGCUGCGGCAGCGACGCUGAUGCGUUGUUGGGUAGGGGAGCGUUCUGUAAGCCUG
This 727-nucleotide ribosomal RNA is filed under the name Escherichia coli. RNAcentral describes it as "partial 23S ribosomal RNA". It matches the Rfam family "Bacterial large subunit ribosomal RNA", at positions 524 to 1251 of the family's 2925-position model. The record is from RNAcentral. Lineage: Bacteria; Pseudomonadati; Pseudomonadota; Gammaproteobacteria; Enterobacterales; Enterobacteriaceae.